This 72-nucleotide transfer RNA is filed under the name Ovis aries (sheep). It matches the Rfam family "tRNA". From Rfam's summary of the family: Transfer RNA (tRNA) molecules are approximately 80 nucleotides in length. Their secondary structure includes four short double-helical elements and three loops (D, anti-codon, and T loops). The record is from Rfam by way of RNAcentral. Lineage: Eukaryota; Metazoa; Chordata; Mammalia; Artiodactyla; Bovidae.
UCCCUGGUAGCUCAAAUGGUGGAGAAUCUGCCUGCAACGCAGGAGACACUGGUUUGAUCCCUGGUUUGGGAA